RNAcentral lists this ribosomal RNA (192 nucleotides) under uncultured bacterium. Its description in RNAcentral is "partial 16S ribosomal RNA". It matches the Rfam family "Bacterial small subunit ribosomal RNA", at positions 326 to 539 of the family's 1533-position model. The record is from RNAcentral.
GGGAUCGCCCUUCCUACGGGAGGCAGCAGUGGGGAAUAUUGGACAAUGGGCGAAAGCCUGAUCCAGCAAUGCCGCGUGAGUGAUGAAGGCCUUAGGGUUGUAAAGCUCUUUUACCCGGGAAGAUAAUGACUGUACCGGGAGAAUAAGCCCCGGCUAACUCCGUGCCAGCAGCCGCGGUAAUAAGGGCGAUCC